GACGAAGGAUGCAAGCGUUAUCCGGAUUCAUUGGGUUUAAAGGGAGCGUAGGUGGCCUUAUAAGUCAGUGGUGAAAUCCUGUUGCUUAACAACAGAAUUGCCAUUGAUACUGUAGGGCUUGAGUAUAGUUGCCGUUGGCGGAAUAUGACAUGUAGUGGUGAAAUACAUAGAGAUGUCAUAGAACACCGAUUGCGAAGGCAGCUAACGAAACUAUAACUGACACUGAGGCUCGAAAGUGCGGGGAUCAAACAGG
Molecule: ribosomal RNA, 253 nt
Filed under: uncultured bacterium
Lineage: Bacteria
Description: partial 16S ribosomal RNA
Rfam family: Bacterial small subunit ribosomal RNA
Source: RNAcentral